CAGUAGCCGCGGUAAUACGUAGGGUGCGAGCGUUAAUCGGAAUUACUGGGCGUAAAGCGUGCGCAGGCGGUUAUGUAAGACAGGUGUGAAAUCCCCGGGCUUAACCUGGGAACUGCGCUUGUGACUGCACAGCUAGAGUAUGGCAGAGGGGGGUGGAAUUCCACGUGUAGCAGUGAAAUGCGUAGAGAUGUGGAGGAACACCGAUGGCGAAGGCAGCCCCUGGGCCAAUACUGACGCUCAUGCACGAAAGCUAGGGGAGCAAAUGGGAUUAGAUACCCGCGUAGUCCCUGUCUCUUAUACA
RNAcentral lists this ribosomal RNA (301 nucleotides) under uncultured bacterium. RNAcentral's name for it is "partial 16S ribosomal RNA". It matches the Rfam family "Bacterial small subunit ribosomal RNA", at positions 509 to 808 of the family's 1533-position model. The record is from RNAcentral.